RNAcentral lists this ribosomal RNA (498 nucleotides) under uncultured bacterium. RNAcentral describes it as "partial 16S ribosomal RNA". It matches the Rfam family "Bacterial small subunit ribosomal RNA", at positions 28 to 523 of the family's 1533-position model. The record is from RNAcentral.
GACGAACGCUGGCGGCGUGCCUAACACAUGCAAGUCGAGCGGAGUCAGUAAGAGGAAGUUUUCGGAUGGAAUCUUAUUGAUUUAGCGGCGGACGGGUGAGUAACGCGUGAGCGACCAACCUUGCACAGGGGGAUAACGGACCGAAAGGUUCACUAAUACCGCAGGAGACCACGGUGUUGCAUGAAACAGUGGUCAAAGGAGCAAUCCGUGGCAAGACGGGCUCCCGUCCGAUUAGGUAGUGGGGGGGGUAACGGCCCACCAAGCCUAGCAUCGGUAGCCGACCUGAGAGGGUGAUCGGCCACAUUGGAACUGAGAUACGGUCCAAACUCCUACGGGAGGCAGCAGUGGGGAGUAUUGGGCAAUGGGGGAAAACCUGACCCAGCAACGCCGCGUGAAGGAAGAAGGUUUUCGGAUUGUAAACUUCUGUCCUUGGUGAAGAGAAGAAGACGGUAGCCAAGGAGGAAGCCCCGGCUAACUACGUGCCAGCCGCCGCAGUAA